Molecule: long non-coding RNA, 980 nt
Organism: Chenopodium quinoa (quinoa)
Lineage: Eukaryota; Viridiplantae; Streptophyta; Magnoliopsida; Caryophyllales; Amaranthaceae
Exons: 2
Source: RefSeq, a predicted model, not a curated record
GUCAGUUGAGUUAAAUUUUGACACCUCAAAAUUACAUCGUACAUUAAUAUGAAAUAAAGUUUCAUCACCGAGAGUCCUACUCCUACAGUCCUACUUAAGAGUCACACAGCCUCACACUAAAAUUUAAACUACUCUCACAUUCGUUCAAUCGCUCGCUGCUCCUGGCCUUUCAUUUCUGCCGCCCGAUUAGGUCAGGAGCAAUUUCAAAGAAUGAGAUCAGAUAUUGGAUGGGAGAAACUCUAGAAUGAAGUCUCUUCAUUUUGUGUAAAAAAUGACAUUGAAGUUCUUGAUAUGACUGCUGAUUAUGAUCCAUCUGGAAGAUUUAAGCGUUUUGUCAAACCGGGCACAAAUCUUGAUUAUUUUCGAGGAAAUAUUUAUGUUAGUGUUAUUGACAAAAGCAUUCAAGAGCUUAACAAUUUGUUCGAUGAGACGAGUAUGGAAUUGCUUUCAUGUAUGGCUUGCUUGAACCCAGCUGAUUGCUUUUCUUCUUUUGACAAGCAAAAAUUGAUCAAACUCGCCAAGUUUUACCCCAGUGAAUUUUCCUCUGUUGAUUUGAUGGGCCUUGAGUAUCAACUUGAAAACUUUAUCUCCGACAUGAGGAGUGAUAAUAGAUUCAGGAAUUUGAAGGACAUCGGGGAGCUUUCAGUGAAACUUGUGGAAACAAGGAAGCACGAUGUGUACUGGGCUGUCUAUUUGCUUGUGAAGUUAAUGUUGAUUCUCGGCAACUCCAAGCAUCGAGAGAACAAUUUCUGGUAUAAACCAUGUAAAGUUUAAGCUGCUGAACAGUGUAGGUAGCCAACAGUUAUAUGAUUCCUUGACCACUUAUGUUGAGAGAGAGGUCUUUUCUGAAGUUCUCGAUGAUGAUAUCAUAAGUUGCUUCAAAAAUAUUAAGGCUAGUCAGGAUUAGCAGCGACUUUCAUUUCCUUAUUUGUAAUUUAUUUGCUUAAGAAAUUAGCUUUAACUUUUAAGUUUGCAUGGCA